RNAcentral lists this ribosomal RNA (447 nucleotides) under uncultured bacterium. RNAcentral describes it as "bacterial SSU rRNA". It matches the Rfam family "Bacterial small subunit ribosomal RNA", at positions 355 to 825 of the family's 1533-position model. The record is from RNAcentral.
UCGGGAAUUUUGGGCAAUGGGGGAAACCCUGACCCAGCAACGCCGCGUGAAGGAUGAAGUAUUUCGGUAUGUAAACUUCGAAAGAAUAGGAAGAAUAAAUGACGGUACUAUUUAUAAGGUCCGGCUAACUACGUGCCAGCAGCCGCGGUAAUACGUAGGGACCAAGCGUUGUUCGGAUUUACUGGGCGUAAAGGGCGCGUAGGCGGCAUGACAAGUCACUUGUGAAAUCUCUGGGCUUAACCCAGAACGGCCAAGUGAUACUGUCGCGCUAGAGUGCAGAAGGGGCAAUCGGAAUUCUUGGUGUAGCGGUGAAAUGCGUAGAUAUCAAGAGGAACACCUGAGGUGAAGACGGGUUGCUGGGCUGACACUGACGCUGAGGCGCGAAAGCCAGGGGAGCAAACGGGAUUAGAUACCCGAGUAGUCCCUGAGCGGGCUGGCAAGGCGCAU